GACAGUUUAGCUCAGUCAGUUAGAGCAUGGUGCUGAUAACACCAAGGUCACGUGUUCGAUCCCCGUUUGGUCU
This 73-nucleotide transfer RNA is filed under the name Apaloderma vittatum (bar-tailed trogon). It matches the Rfam family "tRNA". Rfam says of the family: Transfer RNA (tRNA) molecules are approximately 80 nucleotides in length. Their secondary structure includes four short double-helical elements and three loops (D, anti-codon, and T loops). Further hydrogen bonds mediate the characteristic L-shaped molecular structure. tRNAs have two regions of fundamental functional importance: the anti-codon, which is responsible for specific mRNA codon recognition, and the 3' end, to which the tRNAs corresponding amino acid is attached (by aminoacyl-tRNA synthetases). tRNAs cope with the degeneracy of the genetic code in two manners: having more than one tRNA (with a specific anti-codon) for a particular amino acid; and 'wobble' base-pairing, i.e. permitting non-standard base-pairing at the 3rd anti-codon position. Lineage: Eukaryota; Metazoa; Chordata; Aves; Trogoniformes; Trogonidae. The record is from Rfam by way of RNAcentral.